CUCUCUCUCUAUUGCUCUUGUUCUUGUAUUAUUGUUCUUGGUCUUUAUAUUAUUUCAUAACAGAUCAGGUAAUUUACCUAUUUUUAACUUUUAUAAAUUGACAACGUAUAUGAAUUUGUACUCUACCAGGUCAACUAUAAAGAUAAUUACAGAUAACUAACAAUAAUAAGCGGAAUUAAUAAUCUAAAAUAUAACAUGCAAUAUGCUAUAAUAGGUUAAAUUAUACUGAUAGUAUAAAAAUUUGUUUAUCCCAACAUUACAACUUCUCUUUAUUUUAUCCGUCUCCGGGAUAUCUUUAAAGAUUAAGGGUCUGUUCGAUAUGUUUUUCGAUUUUCUCAUGUUUGGUUGGUUUAAAUGUUUUGGAAAAUAUUUUUCUUAUCAACUCAUUUUCUUCCAAUUGGAGGAAAAUGUUUUCCUUAUCAAAAGAAGGGAAAAUAAUUUCCAAAGCUCAUUCUCAACUUUUUCUCACCCUCACCACCCACUCCAUCCCCUCUCCAAAAAUAAUAUUUUUUAAAUUUCAGUUUUCCCGUUACCAUCCACCCCACUACCCCUCCACCCCGCUCCCCAUCAAACAAAUAUUUCUUUUUUACCUUAAAUUAUUUUUUUUCAAUUUCAAAUUUCUUUUUUUUUAAAAUUUUUCUG
This 642-nucleotide long non-coding RNA is filed under the name Nicotiana benthamiana. RNAcentral describes it as "long non-coding RNA (NBEN_LNC031457)". Lineage: Eukaryota; Viridiplantae; Streptophyta; Magnoliopsida; Solanales; Solanaceae. The record is from RNAcentral.